This 61-nucleotide ribosomal RNA is filed under the name Paratlanticus ussuriensis. RNAcentral's name for it is "partial 18S ribosomal RNA". The record is from RNAcentral. Lineage: Eukaryota; Metazoa; Arthropoda; Insecta; Orthoptera; Tettigoniidae.
AAUUUUUUAAAGUAAAAAAGAUGUACAAGGUUUCCGUAGGUGAACCUGCGGGAGGAUCAUU